GAUGAACGCUGGCGGCGUGCCUAAUACAUGCAAGUCGAGCGAACAGAUAAGGAGCUUGCUCCUUUGACGUUAGCGGCGGACGGGUGAGUAACACGUGGGUAACCUACCUAUAAGACUGGGAUAACUUCGGGAAACCGGAGCUAAUACCGGAUAACAUUUGGAACCGCAUGGUUCUAAAGUGAAAGAUGGUUUUGCUAUCACUUAUAGAUGGACCCGCGCCGUAUUAGCUAGUUGGUAAGGUAACGGCUUACCAAGGCAACGAUACGUAGCCGACCUGAGAGGGUGAUCGGCCACACUGGAACUGAGACACGGUCCAGAUUCCUACGGGAGGCAGCAGUAGGGAAUCUUCCGCAAUGGGCGAAAGCCUGACGGAGCAACGCCGCGUGAGUGAUGAAGGGUUUCGGCUCGUAAAACUCUGUUAUUAGGGAAGAACAAAUGUGUAAGUAACUGUGCACGUCUUGACGGUACCUAAUCAGAAAGCCACGGCUAACUACGUG
Molecule: ribosomal RNA, 497 nt
Filed under: uncultured bacterium
Lineage: Bacteria
Description: partial 16S ribosomal RNA
Rfam family: Bacterial small subunit ribosomal RNA
Source: RNAcentral